AGCAGCCGCGGUAAUUCCAGCUCCAAUAGCGUAUAUUAAAGUUGUUGCAGUUAAAAAGCUCGUAGUUGAAUUUCGGGGUCAGUAGGUUGGUCAUGCCACUGGUAUGUACUGGUCUCACUGAUUCCUCCUUCCUGAUGAACUGUAAUGCCAUUAAUUUGGUGUUGCAGGGAAUCUGGACUGUUACUUUGAAAAAAUUAGAGUGUUUAAAGCAGGCUAACGCCUGAAUACAUUAGCAUGGAAUAAUGAAAUAGGACGUUCGAUCCUAUUUUGUUGGUUUCUAGGAUUGACGUAAUGAUUAAUAGGGAUAGUUGGGGGCAUUAGUAUUCAAUUGUCAGAGGUGAAAUUCUUGGAUUUAUUGAAGACUAACUACUGCGAAAGCAUUUGCCAAGGAUGUUUUCAUUAAUCAAGAACGAAAGUUAGGGGAUCGAAGGCGAUCAGAUACCGUCGUAG
RNAcentral lists this ribosomal RNA (450 nucleotides) under uncultured Glomeromycotina. RNAcentral's name for it is "SSU rRNA". It matches the Rfam family "Eukaryotic small subunit ribosomal RNA", at positions 569 to 1023 of the family's 1831-position model. Lineage: Eukaryota; Fungi; Glomeromycota. The record is from RNAcentral.